CCGGAAGCCUAGCGGCAGAGUGGGCGGUCUGGCUUUCGGGCCGGCGGCGGACUGCGUGGCUGUGUGGCAGUGCGCUGGCGCUGCAGGGAGGGAUGCUGUGCCCCUGGGAGAGCCCGUCGCGGGAGCGCAAGGAGCUGGACAGACUCUGGAGCUUCCACGCUGACUUCUCGGACGACCGGCGCCAGGGCUUCCAGGAGCAGUGGUAGCGGCUGCUGCUGCGCUGAGUUCCUGUUCUGGGCUUCAUUCUGCAUGACCCAUCUCAGCAGGAGGGCCAGGGACCUCAUCCUCUAUGGCACCAAGGAAUUCAGCUUCCUGCAGCUCUCAGAUGCCUACAGGUUAUCACCUAACAGCAAUAAACCUCACAUGCACAGCUUUGGGAUGAUGUUGGAUAAACCUGUGCCCAGGCAGACGUGGGGAACCCAACUCCAUGCAGACAGCAGCCCUGCCUGGAAUCGAUUUUCUUUAUCAAUGUUAGAAAUGACAUUGAAGAAAAUAAUUUUAUUUGGGCACCUGAUAUAUUUCAUGAAAGCUAGCAUCUGUUUUAUUUUUCAGCUGCAAAUUAUUAUUUUUAAAGUCCUGUUUCAAACACAUAAACAGUUGCAAAGAGUAACAACAUUGUUUGCUUCUUCAUUUUAAACAAAUUAUUUCUCAGUGCUAGCAAGCUAAAAUUGUCCUGGAAACCUAAAAAAAAAAGAAGAACAAAAUUUCUUCAGUUGUAAAUGAUUAUAAAAUAACUUUUUCUAAAGUUAAAAAUAAACACAAUUUUUUUCUUUAUGUAAUUUUUAAAAUGUUAGUUUAAAAAUAAUUAUAAAAAGCUGUGAUUACAGUUCUUAUAAAUAUAACCAUCACAUAGCAGGCUUAAAAUAAAUUCCAAAAUGAUUAAUAAACGUGAAUCUGAUUUACAUUUGAUCGAAUUAACAGUGCAGUGUGGCAGUGUGCUUGUUGUUUUAUGCGUAUUAACAAAUUAACAUAAGAUUAAAUUAAAACAAAAUUUAGUACAGGACUUAAGAAUUUAAAUAUAUCCACUUAUAGGUAUAUCUAAAGUAGCUGACUAGCAGUAUGUCUUUUCAAUAUGUAAUAAGUUUCUAUAUGUUAAUUAAGUUUUAAUUAAAGUUAAAUGUCUAAGAGGGAGGUAAUUUCAGAAUCAAGACGUAGAGUUAGGAGCCUAUUUCAGUGGGGUGAGUGUGAGAUAGUCAGUGUUUAACAAUGGGUGGGAAUGGCAAGACAACACACACGAGAUUUUGAAAAGCAGGUAUUACAUGUUUUGAUUGCCUUAAAUAUUUUUCCUCUUAUGAGUAAAAUAUGCCAAGAACAGGUGAAAUAAGGGCUGGGAAUGUGCUUGAGAAAAGUGGUGAUCACUUAGGACAAUAGCAAAUGGAAAUGGGGAAAAUGCACUGACUAUAAUUCAGGAAAAAAGCAUGAGUAGUUUGGGCCUUGAGAUCAUACAUAGGUAUCAGUAUAGAUCAGCAAGUUCUUCACCAGCUUUCUUGUGCACACAUAUGGGAAGAUAGUGGUUGGCUGGAUUGAUCUCGAGUUGAGGUUUUGUCAGAGAUGGGACAGAUUGGUAGUAGAACUUUAACACAGUUCAGGGGCUGGUGAGAAAGAAUGAGUACUAGCCAUGUUGUCCAGUCUGGGUCAAAAAACUGACAAAAUUAUUAAUAGAGGUUAUCUAAAAUUGGGAUAGUUUUUCAGGAAGUGCAAGAAUAUGAUAAUUAAGAGAUAUGGUAGUGUGGUCAGAAAACGGGGUUAGGUGCCUAAGAUUUUUAUGACAAAGUAUAGCAAGGUUCAAGGUAUAACCAGUGAUAUCACACCUUGCACCUUGAUGUCAUACCUUGCAGUGGAGUGGAGAGAAAAGUUAUUGGGUUAAAAGGCUCAACCAUGAGUUACUUUACAAGAAUUAUGAAACUGCCUGCAGGAAGCAGUGACAAGAAGCCAGGAGCUACAUGAAGGAAGAGAACUAUGAUGGACAUCAGUAGUCACCUUGCAUGGUGGCAUGAGUCUCAAAGUCAAAGGGGUGUAACAAGGGAGAAACAAGUAGAAGUAGGGAACACAGAUCAUAAGGGUGCUGGCAACACCUCUAAGCCUGAAGGGAAAAGGACUCCCUUCCCUUAAUUCUACAUGACUCAGGCGCCAUGUACAUACUACCAUGUAGGAAACCAUGAAUGGCUAUGCACACUGUCUUCUUUAACUGUAUAAUAAAACCACACAUUUUCUUUUUUCUCUCUUCUUCCACCCAAAGCCAUGAAUUUGACUUAAGAUAGUUUUUCCUUCAUAGAUAUACUUAAAGGAUAGUAAACCAAAGAAGGAAAGAAAGAAGCAGAAACUAAGCUGUAGAAAAAUGAGCAACUGAGGUCAGGUGCAGUGGCUCACAUAUGUAAUCCCAGAAGUUUGGGAAGCCAAGGAAGGAGGAUCACUUGAGACCAGGAGUUCAAGACCAGCCUAGGCAACAUGGCAAAACACAAUUUCUACAAAAAAUAGAAAAAAACCAUUAGCUGGGUAUGGUGUCACAUGACUGUAGUCCCAGCUACUUGAGGGGCUGAAGUGGAAGGAUUGCUUGAGCACAACCGGUAGAGGCUGCAGUGAGCUGUGAUUGUGCCACUGCAAUCCAGCCUGGGCCACAGAACGAGACCCUGUCUCAAAACAAAAUAAAAAAGAGUAACUAGAACCACCCCCCCAUUUCUCUCCAAAAAUCUCAGACCUAAACUCCCACUGAGAAUAGUUUUGAGGGCUGAAUAUAAUGAUAACAGAAAAGCACAUCUUUUAAGGUCUAUGAGAAUGAUAUAAAGCAGACAGGAUUUUUAAAGUCAAAAAUUAAGACAGAGGCAUACGUGUUAAGAUUAUUCUCACAUUUUGCAAGUCAUUUUCCUUUCAAAGGAUUGCUGAGUCUCAUUUUAGGGUAUUACAGUCAAACAGGAAUCUGCAGCUCAGAUAAAAUGGUUUUGGGAAACAGGAUAUGACAGGCCUGAACUGGGCUAUCAAGCAGUGACAGUUUGAGGGACCUAUUAUCUAUAGGAAGAAUUACAAGAGAGCAAGCCUGACAGCUGCCUGGCUUUAGGUUCUUGAUAAAUUUGCCCAAUCCUAAUUUUUUUUCCUAAGAUUAGAAGCAAAGGAACCAAAUGAAAGAGGUGCUUUCAGUAGUCUAAAGAGCUAUACAGAGCAUUUGGAAUUGUGGGUGCUGGGAGACAGAGUUGGGAGUUCAUGGCCUAUCUUUUAAAGGGAGAUCUGCUUGAGAAGAUCACAAUCUCUGGGGUUAUGACUGGGAAGUCAGUAAAGUAAAAUGUGGUCUUGAAUCAGUCCGCCAGCUGACUGGAUCAAGGCAGUCCUUUGACAGCCAGGAAAAAGUCCUCUGGAGAAGACACGAAUGCACAGCCAAGCCUGGGAAUCAAAGCAAACUCACCUGAAACAUCCAGAAACAGCAUCCUAUGACCCAACACUAAGAGAGACACAGUAGAAAAGGAGCAGGGUAUCCAGAUACCACUGUUAUCAAUAACAGAAAAUUUAAUGGUUAACUAUGAUUUGUGUGCUUUAGAAAAGAAACUGAUGAUUGUCAGUUUUGGCAGAAAACUGGAAAUCAUGUGAAUCAAACAAAUUUAGAAUUGAAAAAUAAAUACCUGAAAUACAAAAUGCAUACAUAUGGGUUGAGUUGGAAGAUAGAUUAGUGCAAAACAUUCUAACUGAAGCAGAAAAAAUUGAUAGUUUGUACAGAAAAUAUUUGUGUAAUUGAAGUUCCAGAAGAAAGGGAGAGAGGAAUUGAGAAAUAAGCAAUAUUUUAAGACAAUAUCACCAAGAAUUUCCCCAAACUGACAAUAGACAUUAAGAGAAAGAUUUAAGAAAAUCUACAAAGCAGUCAAGUUAAUGCAAGAAAAACCACCUGGUACAUUAUAAUAAAUCUGCAGAAAAACAGGGCAAGGAAAGAUUUUAAAAGCAGCAUAAACAAAUAAAUGUUAUUUUUAGGUGAUAAAAUAUUAAUAUAAGGCAGUCAGACUGUCUCAAUAUAAACAAAGGAAGUAAACAGAAAACAAUGGCAUCCUUGAAAUAUUGGGAAAGUGAAACAAGCUAACAGACAAAGAUAAUUAAAAAGAAAUUUAUUAAUCAAAAAGAAAAAGCAAUAAGCUCCAAUUUAUCAGUAAUUACACUGUAAAUAAAUGGUAAAACUGAUUAGGCAAAAAUAAAACAACUCCGUUAUACUUACAGGAAACAAUCAUUAAGUAAGCAUACAUAGAAUAGUUGAAAGUCAGAGGUUAGAAAAAGAUAUUCUUUUUAAAGACCAAGAAAAGAAAAAAAAUGAUAGCUUUAUAAUCGUAAGUCAAAGUUGACAUUAAUGCAAGAUAUAUAGCUAAAAAGAAAAAAAAAUGAUGGCAAUCAGAGAGUGAUUUGACAAUCCUAAAUUUGUAAGCUUUAAAUAAUAAUAUACUCUCAUACUAUGUAACAUGGACAUUGACCAAACUGCAAACAAAAUAGAAGCAUUCAACAUUAUACAUGAAGAUUUUAACCUACCUCUAAAACUGAUGCCCUAAUUAGACGAAACGAUCAAUAGACCUGUCAAUUUGAACAACUUGAUUACAAACUUGACAUACAGAAAGCCCUGCAACCAAUACUUACAGAAUGUAACUUGUUGUAAGUACAUGUGGGAUCCUUAACAAAACUGACCAUUUUUAAAUAAAAAAUCCUAAUUUCUGACAAAGGACUGGGAUCUACACUACAAUAUAUGAAAAGAGCUCUUGAUAUUUAAAAAAAAAAAAGAGAAACCUCUCAUUAAAGAAGAUGUAUGAUGGAAAAUAAACAUGUGAGACAAGGUUUUACAUCAUUAGCAAGCAGUUCAAUGCACAUAGCUAUUAGAGAAGCAUAAAAAAAAUGCUGACACCACCAAGUGUCUGUUGAGAAUACAGAAAACAUGGGGUGCUCACACAUUGCGGGUGGGAAUGUGAAACAGUACAACCAGGCUGGGGAAUCAUUUGGUAGCUUUAAAAACUAAGCAUGUGAUUAUACAAUGAAGCUAUGGCAUGCUUUUCCAUCAGCAUGUUGAGUUCAGUCAAUAGAUUUUGUGUUUCUUUUCACUGACUGACAGCAGCCCCUAUGUGAUUAUUUUGUUUUGUGUGACCCAGACAUUACUAUGCAGAGGGAGUUUUCAAUAAACACUGUCAAAUUAUUUCAGCUACACUUCCUGUUCUUUUCAAAAUUUUCUUAAUAUGCAAUUACCUAUAACAUAUUUUAAAAAGUUUGUGAUAUAGUUACAUA
Callithrix jacchus (white-tufted-ear marmoset) is the source of this 5238-nucleotide long non-coding RNA. NCBI's taxonomy places the organism in Eukaryota, Metazoa, Chordata, Mammalia, Primates, Cebidae. The record is from Ensembl.